UAUAUUUGCAGGUAGAGAUACGCUGUAUACUCGUGUACCCGAAUUAACGUUUAAGCGAUAUGUAAUAUCGUCGAGCACGAGGGAUUGGCCGCCUAUUGGGCGGCCUUUCUUUUUUAGCGA
Molecule: non-coding RNA, 120 nt
Submitted as: unclassified sequences
Source: Rfam